GACGGGGACCCGCACAAGCGUGGAUGAUGUGGAUUAAUUCGAUGCAACGCGAAGAACCUUACCUACCCUUGACAUGUCCGGAACUUGCCAGAGAUGGCUUGGUGCCCGAAAGGGAAUCGGAACACAGGUGCUGCAUGGCUGUCGUCAGCUCGUGUCGUGAGAUGUUGGGUUAAGUCCCGCAACGAGCGCAACCCUUAUCAUUAGUUGCUACGCAAGGGCACUCUAAUGAGACUGCCGGUGACAAACCGGAGGAAGGUGGGGAUGACGUCAAGUCCUCAUGGCCCUUAUGGGUAGGGCUUCACACGUCAUACAAUGGUCGGUACAGAGGGUUGCCAAGCCGCGAGGCGGAGCCAAUCCCACAAAGCCGAUCGUAGUCCGGAUUGUUCUCUGCAACUCGAGAGCAUGAAGUCGGAAUCGCUAGUAAUCGCAGGUCAGCAUACUGCGGUGAAUACGUUCCCGGGUCUU
RNAcentral lists this ribosomal RNA (465 nucleotides) under uncultured Thiobacillus sp. RNAcentral's name for it is "bacterial SSU rRNA". It matches the Rfam family "Bacterial small subunit ribosomal RNA", at positions 912 to 1382 of the family's 1533-position model. The record is from RNAcentral. Lineage: Bacteria; Pseudomonadati; Pseudomonadota; Betaproteobacteria; Nitrosomonadales; Thiobacillaceae.